This 548-nucleotide ribosomal RNA is filed under the name uncultured bacterium. Its description in RNAcentral is "partial 16S ribosomal RNA". It matches the Rfam family "Bacterial small subunit ribosomal RNA", at positions 355 to 895 of the family's 1533-position model. The record is from RNAcentral.
UGGGGAAUUUUGGACAAUGGGCGAAAGCCUGAUCCAGCAAUGCCGCGUGUGUGAAGAAGGCCUUCGGGUUGUAAAGCACUUUUGUCCGGAAAGAAAUCCUUGGCUCUAAUACAGUCGGGGGAUGACGGUACCGGAAGAAUAAGCACCGGCUAACUACGUGCCAGCAGCCGCGGUAAUACGUAGGGUGCAAGCGUUAAUCGGAAUUACUGGGCGUAAAGCGUGCGCAGGCGGUUUGCUAAGACCGAUGUGAAAUCCCCGGGCUCAACCUGGGAACUGCAUUGGUGACUGGCAGGCUAGAGUAUGGCAGAGGGGGGUAGAAUUCCACGUGUAGCAGUGAAAUGCGUAGAGAUGUGGAGGAAUACCGAUGGCGAAGGCAGCCCCCUGGGCCAAUACUGACGCUCAUGCACGAAAGCGUGGGGGAGCAAACAGGAUUCAGAUACCCUGGUAGUCCACGCCCUAAACGAUGUCAACUAGUUGUUGGGGAUUCAUUUCCUAGUAACGUAGCUAACGCGUGAAGUUGACCGCCUGGGGAGUACGGUCGCAAGAUU